Molecule: transfer RNA, 85 nt
Filed under: Felis catus (domestic cat)
Lineage: Eukaryota; Metazoa; Chordata; Mammalia; Carnivora; Felidae
Also listed under: 3 other names
Rfam family: tRNA
About the family: Transfer RNA (tRNA) molecules are approximately 80 nucleotides in length. Their secondary structure includes four short double-helical elements and three loops (D, anti-codon, and T loops). Further hydrogen bonds mediate the characteristic L-shaped molecular structure. tRNAs have two regions of fundamental functional importance: the anti-codon, which is responsible for specific mRNA codon recognition, and the 3' end, to which the tRNAs corresponding amino acid is attached (by aminoacyl-tRNA synthetases). tRNAs cope with the degeneracy of the genetic code in two manners: having more than one tRNA (with a specific anti-codon) for a particular amino acid; and 'wobble' base-pairing, i.e. permitting non-standard base-pairing at the 3rd anti-codon position.
Source: Rfam by way of RNAcentral
GCCUGGGUGGCUCAGUCGGUUAAGUGUCUGACUUUGGCUCAGGUCAUGAUCUCACGGUUCGUGAGUUCGAGCCUCACGUCAGGCU